CCUGCCCACUGAUUUAUUAAAUGGCCGCAGUAAUUUGACUGUGCAAAGGUAGCAUAAUCAUUAGUUUUUUAAUUAAAAGCUUGUAUGAAGGGUUGGACGAAGUAAAUUCUGUCUCUAUUUGAUUUAUAGUAGAAUUUAAUUUUUAAGUUAAAAAGCUUAAAUUUUUAUAAAAGACGAGAAGACCCCAUAGAUCUUUAUAUUUUUAUAAAUAAUUUUAAUUAAGAAUAUUUUAUUUUUUAUUUAUAAUAAUAUUUUAUUGGGGUAAUAAAGAGAUUUAAUUAAUUCUUUUUAAUAUAAAAUAUUAAUUAAUAAAUAUAUGAUCCAAUAAUUUUGAUUAUAAGAUUAAGUUACCUUGGGGAUAACAGCGUAAUUUUUUUAGAGAGUUCAUAUCGAUAAAAAAGUUUGCGACCUCGAUGUUGGAUUAAAAAUUAUUC
This 434-nucleotide ribosomal RNA is filed under the name Copelatus distinctus. RNAcentral describes it as "partial 16S ribosomal RNA". The record is from RNAcentral. Lineage: Eukaryota; Metazoa; Arthropoda; Insecta; Coleoptera; Dytiscidae.